RNAcentral lists this long non-coding RNA (932 nucleotides) under Vigna radiata. Its description in RNAcentral is "long non-coding RNA (VRAD_LNC018433)". Lineage: Eukaryota; Viridiplantae; Streptophyta; Magnoliopsida; Fabales; Fabaceae. The record is from RNAcentral.
GGCAACUAGCAAAGGCAGAAUGUGGUACUACGUUAUCCCAAGAAAGGAACAAAACUACACUAAAACACAACACAAGGAAAACAAAUUUUAAUCAGUUGAAUCAGAAGAUAAUCAAUGAAAGACUAAUAUAAUCGGACUGAACAAAGUUUAAACGGUUUAAAUAAAAAAAGACGCACCUGGAAUGCAAUGCCGCAAGAGAGAAAAAGGAAAGGAGGAAGACGAUGAUGUUUGCGAAACUGCGAGUCUACGGUUUAUUUAACAUGAAAUAAGGCGUCGUUUGCUACAGAAACCGACAUUUAUAGUCAAUUAGACGUCGGUUAUCUCACUAAUAUGAUGUCCAAGAUAACUUUUAAUCUGCCUUUUGCAUGCUCCUUAGACGUCGGACGCAAGGGGGGCCGACGUCUACUGCGCUGAUCGAAAUAACUUUUCAAUUCCAAUCAGGGAAGUAGACGAUGGUUGUCCUGGGGCACCGACGUCUAUAACAUUUUAGAUGUCGACCCCCUACUACUGGAUGUCGAAGUGCCUGCGAGUUUGGUGAGUAUCAUUAAUUACAGCCACAUAGACGUCGUUCCCCCAGAAACCAGAUGUCUAUAUGGCAGAAAUUGAUUGUCUUUCCGCCUUCAUGACAGGCCCAUUGACGUCAAGUUAAGGGAGCACAAACGUCUAUAACAUUAUAGACUUCGGUUAUUUAUUACGUGACAUCUAAGCGCCUCGGAAUCAGGUGAAGAACAUUAAUUGCAACUAGAUAGACGUCUGCCUCCCCCCCUCCCCCCCCCCUCACAACUGACGUUAAUGGGGUAGAAAAGACUGUCUUCUCGCCUACCUCAGGCCCUUGGACGUCUGGUUAGGGCAGAACAGACGUCUACUAUAUUAUAGACGUCGUGUGCCCUAGAAACCGACGUCUUGUUGACCAACUUAUUUACGGUAAUGCC